This 253-nucleotide ribosomal RNA is filed under the name uncultured bacterium. Its description in RNAcentral is "partial 16S ribosomal RNA". It matches the Rfam family "Bacterial small subunit ribosomal RNA", at positions 524 to 776 of the family's 1533-position model. The record is from RNAcentral.
UACGUAGGGUGCAAGCGUUGUCCGGAAUUAUUGUGCGUAAAGAGCUCGUAGGCGGUCUGUCGCGUCGGCUGUGAAAACCUGGGGCUCAACUCCGGGCCUGCAGCCGAUACGGGCAGACUAGAAUUCGGUAGGGGAGACUGGAAUUCCUGGUGUAGCGGUGAAAUGCGCAGAUAUCAGGAGGAACACCGGUGGCGAAGGCGGGUCUCUGGGCCGAUAUUGACGCUGAGGAGCGAAAGCGUGGGGAGCGAACAGU